GCCUUGGCAUUCCGAGGGGCAUGCCUGUUCGAGCGUCAUUA
This 41-nucleotide ribosomal RNA is filed under the name Diplodia sapinea. RNAcentral's name for it is "partial 5.8S ribosomal RNA". The record is from RNAcentral. Lineage: Eukaryota; Fungi; Ascomycota; Dothideomycetes; Botryosphaeriales; Botryosphaeriaceae.